AUACGUAGGUGGCAAGCGUUGUCCGGAUUUACUGGGUGUAAAGGGCGUGUAGGCGGAGAUGCAAGUCAGGAGUGAAAUCUAGGGGCUCAACCCCUAAACUGCUUUUGAAACUGUAUCCCUUGAGUAUCGGAGAGGCAGGCAGAAUUCCUAGUGUAGCGGUGAAAUGCGUAGAUAUUAGGAGGAACACCAGUGGCGAAGGCGGCCUGCUGGACGACAACUGACGCUGAGGCGCGAAAGCGUGGGGAGCAAACAGGAUUAGAUACCCUCGUAGUCCAUACUGUAAACGAUGAUUACUAGGUGUGGGGGGAUAGACCCCCUCCGUGCCGCAGCUAACGCAAUAAGUAAUCCACCUGGGGAGUACGGCCGCAAGGCUGAAACUCAAAGGAAUUGACGGGG
This 396-nucleotide ribosomal RNA is filed under the name uncultured bacterium. RNAcentral's name for it is "partial 16S ribosomal RNA". It matches the Rfam family "Bacterial small subunit ribosomal RNA", at positions 523 to 918 of the family's 1533-position model. The record is from RNAcentral.